CCUACGGUAUGCUGCAGUAGGGAAUCUUCCACAAUGGGCGAAAGCCUGAUGGAGCAACGCCGCGUGGGUGAAGAAGGUCUUCGGAUCGUAAAACCCUGUUGUUAGAGAAGCAAGUGCGUGAGAGUAACUGUUCACGUUUCGACGGUAUCUAACCAGAAAGCCACGGCUAAAUACUUGCCAGCAGCCGCGGUCAGACGUAGGUGGCAAGCGUUAUCCGGAUUUCUUGGGCGUAAAGGUAACGCAGGCGGUCUUUUAAGUCUGAUGUGAAAGCCUUCGGCUUAACCGGAGUAGUGCGUUGGAAACUGGGAGACUUGAGGGCAGAAGAGGAGAGUGGAACUCCAUGUGUAGCGGUGAAAUGCGUAGAUAUAUGGAAGAACACCAGUGGCGAAAGCGGCUCUCUGGUCUGUAACUGACGCUGAGGUUCGAAAGCGUGGGUAGCAAACAGGAUUAGAUACCCCAGUAGUC
RNAcentral lists this ribosomal RNA (465 nucleotides) under uncultured bacterium. RNAcentral describes it as "partial 16S ribosomal RNA". It matches the Rfam family "Bacterial small subunit ribosomal RNA", at positions 338 to 795 of the family's 1533-position model. The record is from RNAcentral.